GGUUGACCUCGGAUCAGGUAGGAGUUACCCGCUGAACUUAAGCAUAUCUAAGCAGGAAAAAAAA
This 64-nucleotide ribosomal RNA is filed under the name Talaromyces funiculosus. Its description in RNAcentral is "partial 28S ribosomal RNA". Lineage: Eukaryota; Fungi; Ascomycota; Eurotiomycetes; Eurotiales; Trichocomaceae. The record is from RNAcentral.